RNAcentral lists this microRNA precursor (61 nucleotides) under Canis lupus dingo (dingo). Its description in RNAcentral is "mir-8799 microRNA precursor family". It matches the Rfam family "mir-8799 microRNA precursor family". Lineage: Eukaryota; Metazoa; Chordata; Mammalia; Carnivora; Canidae. The record is from Rfam by way of RNAcentral.
GGGGGGAGGCCGGAUCCUGGGCUGUGCUGUUGGAUUUGUGCUCCCGGCCGCGCAGCCCCCU